AGAGUUUGAUUCUGGCUCAGAUUGAACGCUGGCGGCGUGCUUAACACAUGCAAGUCGAACGUGAAAGUCCUUCGGGACGAGUAAAGUGGCGCACGGGUGAGUAACGCGUGGAUAAUCUACCCUUAAGAUGGGGAUAACGGCUGGAAACGGUCGCUAAUACCGAAUACGCUCCCGAUUUUAUCGUUGGGGGGAAAGAUGGCCUCUGCUUGCAAGCUAUCGCUUAAGGAUGAGUCCGCGUCCCAUUAGCUAGUUGGCGGGGUAACGGCCCACCAAGGCAACGAUGGGUAGCCGGUCUGAGAGGAUGACCGGCCACACUGGAACUGGAACACGGUCCAGACUCCUACGGGAGGCAGCAGUGGGGAAUAUUGCGCAAUGGGCGAAAGCCUGACGCAGCGACGCCGCGUGAGGGAUGAAGGUUCUCGGAUCGUAAACCUCUGUCAGGGGGGAAGAAACCCCCUCGUGUGAAUAAUGCGAGGGCUUGACGGUACCCCCAAAGGAAGCACCGGCUAACUCCGUGCCAGCAGCCGCGGUAAUACGUAGGGUGCAAGCGUUAAUCGGAAUUACUGGGCGUAAAGCGCACGUAGGCGGCUUGGUAAGUCAGGGGUGAAAUCCCACAGCCCAACUGUGGAACUGCCUUUGAUACUGCCAGGCUUGAGUACCGGAGAGGGUGGCGGAAUUCCAGGUGUAGGAGUGAAAUCCGUAGAUAUCUGGAGGAACACCGGUGGCGAAGGCGGCCACCUGGACGGUAACUGACGCUGAGGCGCGAAAGCGUGGGUAGCAAACAGGAUUAGAUACCCUGGUAGUCCACGCUGUAAACGAUGGGUGCUGGGUGCUGGGAUGUAUGUCUCGGUGCCGUAGCUAACGCGAUAAGCACCCCGCCUGGGGAGUACGGUCGCAAGGCUG
Molecule: ribosomal RNA, 903 nt
Filed under: human gut metagenome
Description: bacterial SSU rRNA
Rfam family: Bacterial small subunit ribosomal RNA
Source: RNAcentral